AUUCUAACUAAGGCAGAGAUUUCAAAGAUUUCUAUUUAUAUUGGCACAAUCUAUCUAAAGGCCACUAAUAACAGAUAAAAGUCAUUUUGCAACAGCUAUAUCCAAGCCAUAAGGAUUUACGCCUUAAUACGAUGGCUAAGAUUUCCUAUGCUGCAAUUUUUGCCCUUAUUCUUAUUAUUUCUGUUUCUAUGGCAAGUGUGGAAGGAUCAUUAUGUUCGAAUGAUCUGUACAUUACUAAUCCUCCUUGUCAGGAAUCAUUUUGCAAACUCAUAUGUGCUGGUCGCUAUGACGGUGGACGAGGACAUUGUGCGACAAGAAAAUCUAAUAAAAUAUCUUAUGAAGUAUGUGUAUGCAUUCAUGAGCAUGACUGUCCCCCAUAGGCAUUAGGGUUCAUAUUUUUAUAAAAAAAAUAUAUAAAGUUGAGAAAUGCCCUGUUUUGCAAAAUAGAUUAAUCAACAUUGUACUCCUUCAA
Non-coding RNA from Arachis ipaensis, 472 nucleotides. The record is from RefSeq and is a predicted model, not a curated record. Lineage: Eukaryota; Viridiplantae; Streptophyta; Magnoliopsida; Fabales; Fabaceae.